GCAUUAAUGGGGUAGUGGUAACCUGGGUCGUUGCCAUCAUGAUGAUCGACGAAUUAUCUUUCGACCCGCCGGGGGUUCGAUUCCCUCUUAAUGCA
This is a non-coding RNA of Gymnopus androsaceus JB14, 95 nucleotides long. The record is from the annotation of a GenBank genome assembly. NCBI's taxonomy places the organism in Eukaryota, Fungi, Basidiomycota, Agaricomycetes, Agaricales, Omphalotaceae.